GCUCCGUUAGCUCAGUUGGUAGAGCAUUCGGCUGUUAACCGAAGCGUCGUAGGUUCAAGUCCUACACGGAGCG
This 73-nucleotide transfer RNA is filed under the name Lachnospiraceae bacterium. Its description in RNAcentral is "tRNA-Asn". It matches the Rfam family "tRNA". From Rfam's summary of the family: Transfer RNA (tRNA) molecules are approximately 80 nucleotides in length. Their secondary structure includes four short double-helical elements and three loops (D, anti-codon, and T loops). Further hydrogen bonds mediate the characteristic L-shaped molecular structure. tRNAs have two regions of fundamental functional importance: the anti-codon, which is responsible for specific mRNA codon recognition, and the 3' end, to which the tRNAs corresponding amino acid is attached (by aminoacyl-tRNA synthetases). tRNAs cope with the degeneracy of the genetic code in two manners: having more than one tRNA (with a specific anti-codon) for a particular amino acid; and 'wobble' base-pairing, i.e. permitting non-standard base-pairing at the 3rd anti-codon position. Lineage: Bacteria; Bacillati; Bacillota; Clostridia; Lachnospirales; Lachnospiraceae. The record is from RNAcentral.